AUUGAACGCUGGCGGCAUGCUUUACACAUGCAAGUCGAACGGUAACAGGUUAAGCUGACGAGUGGCGAACGGGUGAGUAAUGCAUCGGAACGUGCGCGGUCGGGGGGGAUAACACUUCGAAAGAAGUGCUAAUACCGCAUAAGAUCUGAGGUGGAAAGCGGGGGACGGUAAGGCCUCGCGCGAGCGGAGCGGCCGAAGUCAGAUGAGGUAGUUGGUGGGGUAAAGGCCCACCAAGCCGACGAGCUGUAGCUGGUCUGAGAGGACGACCAGCCACACCGGGACGGAGACACGGCACAGACUCCUACGGGAGGCAGCAGUGGGGAAUUUUGGACAAUGGGCGCAAGCCUGAUCCAGCAAUGCCGCGUGCAGGAAGAAGGCCUUCGGGUUGUAAACUGCUUUUGUACGGAGCGAAAAGGCUCCCUCUAAUACAGGGGGCUGAUGACGGUACCGUAAGAAUAAGCACCGGCUAACUACGUGCCAGCAGCCGCAGUAA
RNAcentral lists this ribosomal RNA (493 nucleotides) under uncultured bacterium. RNAcentral describes it as "partial 16S ribosomal RNA". It matches the Rfam family "Bacterial small subunit ribosomal RNA", at positions 29 to 523 of the family's 1533-position model. The record is from RNAcentral.